This is a long non-coding RNA of Neofelis nebulosa (Clouded leopard), 2152 nucleotides long. RefSeq lists it as uncharacterized. Lineage: Eukaryota; Metazoa; Chordata; Mammalia; Carnivora; Felidae. The transcript has 2 exons. The record is from RefSeq and is a predicted model, not a curated record.
CAUCCACAUAGGGGGUUGGGAUUUUAACAUGUGAAUUUUGUGGUUCCGUCUGUAUUCGAUCUAUAGCACUAAUUCCAUUUGCAACCAUUGACUGGAACUUCAUUUCAAGGGCUUACCCAGCUGCAAGGAAGACCGAAAACACAGUCGCCACGAUAGGGCUGCAAGCCCAAGGCUAUGUGGUUCUUGAGAUCACAAUCUUUCUGUCAACCCCCACUUUGCCUCCUGAGUACCUUAGCAGCUGAGGGUUCCAAAGACAGCUUUACUGUUAUAUCCUGUGGCAGCCCGUGUGCCUCUUUAACUCAGCCUCUGUCAUAUAUACUACAGGUGAUGUCUUAGUUAUUUCCUCAGCUUCUUGCUUCCUCAGCAUUUUGAAUACUUCUCUAUUUUUUUUUUAAAGUAAGCUCUACGCCCAAUGUGGGGCUUCAACUUACAACCCCAAGAUCGAGUCACAUGCUCUAGCAACUAAGCCAGCCAGGCACCCCUUGAAUACUUUUAUAACCUCACCCCAAAUGUUAUAAUGACUUGUUUUUGGUUUUCUUGAAUCAAACACUGGCUAAUUGGUAAUGUUUAUUACAUGAAUAACUCACUUAACAAACAACAUAGUUUUAUGUGUCUUUAGCACAUUGUCUGGCCUUUUACAGAUAUCCAAAAAAACCCAUGUUUAUUGAAUGGAUGGAUGGAUGGAUGGAUGGAUGGAUGGAUGGAUGGAUGGAAAAUCAACGCUUUCCUAAUUCAACACUUUUUUCUGAUUUUAGAUAAGCAGUCUACAUUCUCAGCUAAUCCCUUUGCUUUCAGGGUUGGAAGAAGAGAGAGAAAAGAGAACAACAACAACAACAACAACAAACAGGAAAAGGGAAAAGGAUAUGAGGUGUAUUUAUGCAAGUUCUCUGGUCUCCUACUUCCUUCUCUCACUUUAGUAUUGAUGCCACAAUUGUGAAUUUUGCUUUUCAAAUGGACCUUGGUAAUACCUUCUGGGAAAGGCUUGAGUAUGCCACGUUCAAGACCAAUGACCAAUGUAUUAAUGCUUCAGGAUUUAGGAAUAUUCAGGGAAGUUGCAACUAACUUUGUUCAGUGAGAGCAUAUACACUUUCUCUUUGUAACAUCUUCAUUGAAAACCCACAUAAAUUUUUAUAUUGCAAAGCCCUAAAGAUGAAAUAAUUUUUUUAAAAUUUCCUAUGAGGUAGUACUGGUAAAUUUACAGUUAUUUCAACCCCAUGAAGAAGUAGACAUCAUCACAUUCCUCAUGAAAAGCUCCAGCAAGAGCCAUUGGCAUGGUUUGAAUAUAAACAUCUAGCAGCUAAAUGACUUUAUCAAGCUACAAUCCCUGUGCUCAGCGAUUUAGAGGAAAUCAGCAGCUUACCCAAAGUUUUUUUUUUCUUUUUGCUGAGCAAUUGGGGGCCAAAAAUAAAACACUGUUACAUCAAACUGCAGACAAACAAAAAUCUGAAUACAUUCGCUAUCUUCUCAGGGCAUUUCUGUACCUAAUGAGCACAGCUGAGCCCAAAGGCGUCAAGAUGUUUCUUGCCAUUAGGCAAUGGGGUGGAGGAUUAUCCAAUAAUUCCUGGCGGGCAUUGUCGGUUCUUCUGGGUAAAGUAGGAAGAAGGUCAAAAGAGGAUGCAAAUGUUUUUUAAUCAAUGGAAGAGAGAAGUGAUACAUUCCUCUGACCUUUUCGAUUGCUGGGAAGAUAUAUUAUCUGCAUUAAUUAGCAUGUUGAAGAAUUCCUUCUGGAUUGCCAAGUGCCUUCCUAGCUCACAUUCACGGUCCUAGAAUGCCAGAACUUGGAAGACUCCACGUUAAGCCUUCUUUGUAAUUACUGCUGAGGAGACUGAGACCCAAGGAGCCAAGUCAUGUUUGGGGUCCGAGACUGGGAGAACCAUGACCUCAGUGAAACCAUUUUGCAAAGCCACUGGUGAGCCUCUCCAUGUGAGCAGAGUGAAUUCUUAGCUACCCUUCUGUUUGUAUUUCUUUGUUUGAAUUUGCCAUCAUAUGAACAAUUAGUUAUCAGUCAAAAUAUGCUAUGUCUAACAUCUUUCUUUCCAUUUCUAAAUGUAAAAAAUGAAACUUCUCCUUUCUGAAAGCCUAAAAAUCCGUAACCGGUGAAAACUUAACACUUUUUUUCUGAAGUACAUUAAAAGAAGCAUAGUACAGAAUA